UACGUAGGGGGCAAGCGUUGUCCGGAUUUAUUGGGUGUAAAGAGCGUGUAGGCGGUCAGGUAGGUCCGUUGUGAAAACUCGAGGCUCAACCUCGAGACGCCGAUGGAAACCAUCUGACUAGAGUCCGGAAGAGGAGAGUGGAAUUCCUGGUGUAGCGGUGAAAUGCGCAGAUAUCAGGAAGAACACCCGUGGCUAAGGCGGCUCUCUAGUACGGUACUGACGCUGAGACGCGAAAGCGUGGGGAGCGAACAGG
RNAcentral lists this ribosomal RNA (253 nucleotides) under uncultured bacterium. RNAcentral describes it as "partial 16S ribosomal RNA". It matches the Rfam family "Bacterial small subunit ribosomal RNA", at positions 524 to 776 of the family's 1533-position model. The record is from RNAcentral.